UACGUAGGGGGCAAGCGUUGUCCGGAAUUAUUGGGCGUAAAGAGCGUGUAGGCGGUAAAUUAAGUUGGAUGUAAAAGGCAUGGGCUCAACCUGUGUAAGCAUCCAAAACUGAUAUACUUGAGUGCAGGAGAGGAAAGUGGAAUUCCCGGUGUAGCGGUGGAAUGCGUAGAGAUCGGGAGGAACACCAGUGGCGAAGGCGACUUUCUGGCCUGUAACUGACGCUGAGACGCGAAAGCGUGGGUAGCGAAUGGG
This 252-nucleotide ribosomal RNA is filed under the name uncultured bacterium. RNAcentral's name for it is "partial 16S ribosomal RNA". It matches the Rfam family "Bacterial small subunit ribosomal RNA", at positions 524 to 776 of the family's 1533-position model. The record is from RNAcentral.